AGAGUUUGAUCAUGGCUCAGGAUGAACGCUAGCUACAGGCUUAACACAUGCAAGUCGAGGGGCAUCAGUUUGGUUUGCUUGCAAACCAAAGCUGGCGACCGGCGCACGGGUGAGUAACACGUAUCCAACCUGCCUCAUACUCGGGGAUAGCCUUUCGAAAGAAAGAUUAAUAUCCGAUAGCAUAUAUUUCCCGCAUGGGUUUUAUAUUAAGAAUUCGGUAUGAGAUGGGGAUGCGUUCAUUAGUUUGUUGGCGGGGUAACGCCACCAAGACUACGAUGGAUAGGGGUUCUGAGAGGAAGGUCCCCCACAUUGGAACUGAGACACGGUCCAAACGUCCUACGGGAGGCA
Molecule: ribosomal RNA, 348 nt
Filed under: uncultured bacterium
Lineage: Bacteria
Description: bacterial SSU rRNA
Rfam family: Bacterial small subunit ribosomal RNA
Source: RNAcentral